GAUGAACGCGGGCGGCGUGGAGAAGCCAUGCAAGUCGAACGCCCCGCAAGGGGAGUGGCAGACGGGUGAGUAACACGUGGGAACGUACCCUUUGGUGCGGAAUAACUUGGGGAAACUCAAGCUAAUACCGGAUAAGCCAUGAUGGGGAAAGGUUUACUGCCGAAGGAUCGUCCCGCGUCUGAUUAGCUAGUUGGUGAGGUAAUGGCUCACCAAGGCGACGAUCAGUAGCUGGUCUGAGAGGAUGAUCAGCCACACUGGGACUGAGACACGGCCCAGACUCCUACGGGAGGCAGCAGUGGGGAAUAUUGGACAAUGGGGGCAACCCUGAUCCAGCCAUGCCGCAUGAGUGAUGAAGGCCUUAGGGUUGUAAAGCUCUUUUACCCGGGACGAUAAUGACUGUACCGGGAGAAUAAGCCCCAGCUAACUUCGUGCCAGCAGCCGCAGUAA
RNAcentral lists this ribosomal RNA (447 nucleotides) under uncultured bacterium. Its description in RNAcentral is "partial 16S ribosomal RNA". It matches the Rfam family "Bacterial small subunit ribosomal RNA", at positions 28 to 523 of the family's 1533-position model. The record is from RNAcentral.